UAGGUUGGUGCAGAAGUAGUCGCAGUUUUUACCAUUGAAACUAAUGGCAAAAACUGCAGUUACUUUUGCACCAA
MicroRNA precursor from Macaca nemestrina (pig-tailed macaque), 74 nucleotides. The record is from Ensembl. NCBI's taxonomy places the organism in Eukaryota, Metazoa, Chordata, Mammalia, Primates, Cercopithecidae.